GCGUUAAUGGAGUAGUGGUAGCCUGGGUCGUUGCCAUUCAGAAAUUCAGGAUCACGUAGUUGUCGACCUGCGGGGGGGUUCGAUUCCCUCUUCAUACA
Molecule: non-coding RNA, 98 nt
Organism: Coprinopsis sp. MPI-PUGE-AT-0042
Lineage: Eukaryota; Fungi; Basidiomycota; Agaricomycetes; Agaricales; Psathyrellaceae
Source: the annotation of a GenBank genome assembly